This 24-nucleotide transfer RNA is filed under the name Pleurothallis isthmica. RNAcentral's name for it is "partial tRNA-Gly". Lineage: Eukaryota; Viridiplantae; Streptophyta; Magnoliopsida; Asparagales; Orchidaceae. The record is from RNAcentral.
GCGGAUAUGGUCAGAAUGGSUAAA